GUUUCAGUGGUUCAUGUAGGGAGAGCGAAUCAACAUAGCUGUCACGAAAGUCUGUCAAAAGCCACAGCAUUGCCAGUAAGGAUUCAUUUCAAAGGUAUACCUGUAAGUACCGGACCACUGACAAACGCAAACAGCUUGUUGAGCUUCCGAAGGAGCAAUUGUCCUUAUUUGUCGUAGAUAAACAGCUGUUUCUUGCCAGGGAAUAUUUCUCAACUAGAUCACAGGAAUCUAUUUCAUGUUUUUUCGUUUUUUGGGGUUCUCCUCGACAACAGAUGGCGAUGUCUUCUGAUAACAUUACAGUGGAUCCGUUUUCAGUCUCUCCUCGUCCCAACCAGAGCUCCUGUGAUGUUUUCACCGGCCAGGCUGUUGCCACGGUUCUCUUCCCAUCGUCUACUUGCUGGUGUUCCUCAUCAGUGCCUGUGGCAACAGCCUGGUGCUCUACGUGAUCUGUCGCAGUCAGCAGAAGUGUAACUCACUUCCAUCUACCUGCUGAACCUGGCUCUGUCCGACACCCUCUUCACCCUGUUGCUGCCGGCCAGGAUCCACCUACUACAUCCGUGGCUUCGACUGGCCUUUCGGGAUGUCAUGUGCACGUUGACCGCAGUCAUCUUCUUUGCGAACACCUAUGCAGGCAUCGGCUUCAUGACCUGCAUCUCCGUGGACCGCUUACCUGGCCAUGGUGCAUCCGCACCGGCUGCGGGAGUCUGCGCAGCGUGAAGGUGGUCCGACGGGUGUGCGGCCUGGUGUGGGCCAUCGUGCUCCUGGAGGUGGCCUCCGUGCUGUUCAAGAGCAUGCUCACGACCACCGUGGGCAAACGCACAUGCAUGGAGUUCUCCAAACUUCGGGGCCAGGUCCAUGCUGUAUCUUCUCCUGCUGGCCUGCGUCUUCUCUUUCUUCCUCCCGCUGGCACUGAUCCUCGGAUGCUACGCCCAGAUCAACAGGAAGCUACGCUCCGCCGCACGGCAGAGCCCGCUGGGCAGCGGGGGCCCGGGGGGGGAGUGGACAUUGCAGGGCCAACACCAUCAUCCUCCUCAUCUUGCUCACCUUCACGGUGA
RNAcentral lists this long non-coding RNA (1055 nucleotides) under Gadus morhua (Atlantic cod). RNAcentral describes it as "lncRNA (ENSGMOG00000024469.1)". Lineage: Eukaryota; Metazoa; Chordata; Actinopteri; Gadiformes; Gadidae. The record is from RNAcentral.